UAAUACGGAGGGGGCGAGCGUUAUUCGGAAUUAUUGGGCGUAAAGGGCGCGUAGGUGGCCCUGUAAGUCAAAGGUGAAAUCCCUCGGCUCAACCGAGGAAUUGCCCUUGAAACUGCAGGGCUUGAGGCCGGGAGGGGGUAGCGGAAUUCCCAGUGUAGCGGUGAAAUGCGUAGAUACUGGGAGGAACACCGGUGGCGAAGGCGGCUACCUGGACCGGUUCUGACACUGAUGCGCGAAAGCGUGGGUAGCAAACAGGAUUAGAUACCCUGGUAGUCCACGCUGUAAACGAUGGGUGCUCGGUGUCGCGGGUAUCGACCCCUGCGGUGCCUUAGCUAACGCGUUAAGCACCCCGCCUGGGGAGUACGGUCGCAAGGCUG
This 377-nucleotide ribosomal RNA is filed under the name uncultured bacterium. Its description in RNAcentral is "bacterial SSU rRNA". It matches the Rfam family "Bacterial small subunit ribosomal RNA", at positions 521 to 896 of the family's 1533-position model. The record is from RNAcentral.